ACAGCACUGGGCCAGUCCUCCCAGUAUGGACCAGUCGGGUCCCUGGACAGGUCCAGGUCUCCCAGCAAGGGCUGGGACAGGCCCUGAAUCCUCAGCCCUGCGCUUCCCAUGCUGCCAGCGGGGCGGGGACAUCCCCGUAUCCCAUCCCAGUGCUCCAGGUCCAUUCCAGUGCUCCAGGUCCAUCCCAGUGCUCCAAGUCCAGUCCAGUGCUCCCAGUGUCCCAUCCCAGUGCUCCUAUCCCAGUCCACCCCAGUGCUUCCAUCCCAGUGCUCCCACCCCAUCCCAUUUGCUUCCAUCCCAGUGCUCCCAGUCCAUCCCAUCCCAGUGCUCCCAGUCCAACCCAGUGCUCCCAGUCCAGUCCAACCCAGUGCUCCCAGUGUUCCAUCCCAGUGCUCCCAGUCCAUCCCAGUGCUCCCAGUGUCCCAUCCCAGUGCUCCCGGUCCAUCCCAGUCCACCCCAGUGCUCCCAGUGUUCUAUCCCAGUGCUCCCAGUCUAUCCCAUGCUCCCGUCCCAGUCCAUCUCAGUGCUCCCAGUCCACCCCCCAAAUGUUCCCAUCCCAGUGCUCCCAGUCCAUCCCAGUGCUCCCAGUCCACCCCGCCAAUGUUCCCAGUNNNNNNNNNNCCAAUGUUCCCAGUCCAACCCAGUCCAUCCCAGUGCUCCCAGUCCACGCCCCCAAUGUUCCCAUCCCAGUGCUCCCAGUCCAUCCCAGUCCAUCCCAGUCUCCCGUCCCAGUGCUCCCAGUCCACCCCCCCAAUAUUCCCAUCCCAGUCCAUCCCAGUGCUCCCAAUCCACCCCACCAAUGAUCCCAGUCCAACCCAGUCCACCCCAGUCCAUCCCAGUCUCCCACCCCAGUGCUCCCAGUCCAUCCCAGUGCUCCCAGUCCAACCCAGUCCACCCCAGUCCAUCCCAGUCUCCCACCCCAGUGCUCCCAGUCCAUCCCAGUGCUCCCAGUCCAACCCAGUCCAUCCCAGUCCAUCCCAGUGCUCCCAGUCCAACCCGCCAGUGCUCCCAGUCCACCCCAGUCCAUCCCAGUCUCCCACCCCAGUGCUCCCAGUCCAUCCCAGUGCUCCCAGUCCAACCCAGUCCAUCCCAGUCCAUCCCAGUGCUCCCAGUCCACCCCAGUCCAUCCCAGUCCAUCCCAGUUUCCCGUCCCAGUGCUCCCAGUCCAUCCCAGUCUCCCGUCCCGCAGGUACCACAGCCUGUACCUGAAGGUCAAGGGCAACGUGUUCAAGAACAAGCGGAUCCUGAUGGAGCACAUCCACAAGCUGAAGGCCGACAAGGCCCGCAAGAAGCUGCUGGCGUAAGUGCUGCUGCAGGGGGGCUCNNNNNNNNNNUUCCAAAAUUCAUUAACAGCACCGGGAUUAUGGGUGUGGAGUUGGUGAGGAG
Molecule: long non-coding RNA, 1386 nt
Filed under: Chloebia gouldiae (Gouldian finch)
Lineage: Eukaryota; Metazoa; Chordata; Aves; Passeriformes; Passeridae
Description: Erythrura gouldiae (Gouldian finch) lncRNA (ENSEGOG00005018142.1)
Source: RNAcentral